This 465-nucleotide ribosomal RNA is filed under the name Vreelandella stevensii. RNAcentral's name for it is "partial 16S ribosomal RNA". It matches the Rfam family "Bacterial small subunit ribosomal RNA", at positions 338 to 795 of the family's 1533-position model. The record is from RNAcentral. Lineage: Bacteria; Pseudomonadati; Pseudomonadota; Gammaproteobacteria; Oceanospirillales; Halomonadaceae.
CCUACGGGCGGCAGCAGUGGGGAAUAUUGGACAAUGGGGGCAACCCUGAUCCAGCCAUGCCGCGUGUGUGAAGAAGGCCCUCGGGUUGUAAAGCACUUUCAGUGAGGAAGAACGCCUGGUGGUUAAUACCCAUCAGGAAAGACAUCACUCACAGAAGAAGCACCGGCUAACUCCGUGCCAGCAGCCGCGGUAAUACGGAGGGUGCGAGCGUUAAUCGGAAUUACUGGGCGUAAAGCGAGCGUAGGUGGCUUGAUAAGCCGGUUGUGAAAGCCCCGGGCUCAACCUGGGAACGGCAUCCGGAACUGUCAAGCUAGAGUGCAGGAGAGGAAGGUAGAAUUCCCGGUGUAGCGGUGAAAUGCGUAGAGAUCGGGAGGAAUACCAGUGGCGAAGGCGGCCUUCUGGACUGACACUGACACUGAGGUGCGAAAGCGUGGGUAGCAAACAGGAUUAGAUACCCCAGUAGUC